This 558-nucleotide small RNA is filed under the name Pongo abelii (Sumatran orangutan). RNAcentral describes it as "processed transcript". The record is from RNAcentral. Lineage: Eukaryota; Metazoa; Chordata; Mammalia; Primates; Hominidae.
ACACUUUCAUUAGCAGCCACAGGUACUAAAUAAUCUGCUGUUACUUUCUCAAGUUUAAAAAUGACCAUCAGCCCCUCUUCUCUAAGUAUGCAACUUUUGACGGACUGCUUGUUUUAGACUGGCAGAAAAUGUGCUUCCCCAGAGGUCCCUGCAUUCCUAAUCCAUGCCAUAAUGGAGGAACCUGUGAAAUAAGUGAAGCAUACCGAGGGGACACAUUCAUAGGCUAUGUUUGUAAAUGUCCCCGAGGAUUUAAUGGGAUUCACUGUCAGCACAACAUAAAUGAAUGCGAAGUUGAGCCUUGCAAAAAUGGUGGAAUAUGUACAGAUCUUGUUGCUAACUAUUCCUGUGAGUGCCCAGGCGAAUUUAUGGGAAGAAAUUGUCAAUACAAAUGCUCAGGCCCAUUGGGAAUUGAAGGUGGAAUUAUAUCAAACCAGCAAAUCACGGCUUCCUCUACUCACCGAGCUCUUUUUGGACUCCAAAAAUGGUAUCCCUACUAUGCACGUCUUAAUAAGAAGGGGCUUAUAAAUGCGUGGACAGCUGCAGAAAAUGACAGAUGGC